This 474-nucleotide ribosomal RNA is filed under the name uncultured Comamonas sp. RNAcentral describes it as "bacterial SSU rRNA". It matches the Rfam family "Bacterial small subunit ribosomal RNA", at positions 900 to 1382 of the family's 1533-position model. Lineage: Bacteria; Pseudomonadati; Pseudomonadota; Betaproteobacteria; Burkholderiales; Comamonadaceae. The record is from RNAcentral.
CUUAAAGGAAUUGACGGGACCGCACAAGCGUGGAUGAUGUGGUUUAAUUCGAUGCAACGCGAAAACCUUACCCACCUUUGACAUGUACGGAAUCCUUUAGAGAUAGAGGAGUGCUCGAAAGAGAGCCGUAACACAGGUGCUGCAUGGCUGUCGUCAGCUCGUGUCGUGAGAUGUUGGGUUAAGUCCCGCAACGAGCGCAACCCUUGUCAUUAGUUGCUACGAAAGGGCACUCUAAUGAGACUGCCGGUGACAAACCGGAGGAAGGUGGGGAUGACGUCAAGUCCUCAUGGCCCUUAUAGGUGGGGCUACACACGUCAUACAAUGGCUGGUACAAAGGGUUGCCAACCCGCGAGGGGGAGCCAAUCCCAUAAAGCCAGUCGUAGUCCGGAUCGCAGUCUGCAACUCGACUGCGUGAAGUCGGAAUCGCUAGUAAUCGUGGAUCAGCAUGUCACGGUGAAUACGUUCCCGGGUCUU